GGUUAAGUGACUAAGCGUACACGGUGGAUGCCUAGGCAGUCAGAGGCGAUGAAGGGCGUGCUAAUCUGCGAAAAGCGUCGGUAAGGUGAUAUGAACCGUUAUAACCGGCGAUACCCGAAUGGGGAAACCCAGUGUGUUUCGACACACUAUCAUGUCAUGAAUACAUAGUGGCAUGAGGCGAACCGGGGGAACUGAAACAUCUAAGUACCCCGAGGAAAAGAAAUCAACCGAGAUUCCCCCAGUAGCGGCGAGCGAACGGGGAGGAGCCCAGAACCUGAAUCGGCUUGUGUGUUAGUGGAAGCGUCUGGAAAGUCGCGCAGCAAAGGGUGAUAGCCCCGUACACUAAAAUGCACAGGUCGUGAGUUCGAUGAGUAGGGCGGGACACGUGACAUCCUGUCUGAAUAUGGGGGGACCAUCCUCCAAGGCUAAAUACUCCUGACUGACCGAUAGUGAACCAGUACCGUGAGGGAAAGGCGAAAAGAACCCCGGCGAGGGGAGUGAAAUAGAACCUGAAACCGUGUACGUACAAGCAGUGGGAGCACCUUCGUGGUGUGACUGCGUACCUUUUGUAUAAUGGGUCAGCGACUUAUAUUUUGUAGCAAGGUUAACCGUAUAGGGGAGCCGUAGGGAAACCGAGUCUUAACUGGGCGACUAGUUGCAAGGUAUAGACCCGAAACCCGGUGAUCUAGCCAUGGGCAGGUUGAAGGUUGGGUAACACUAACUGGAGGACCGAACCGACUAAUGUUGAAAAAUUAGCGGAUGACUUGUGGCUGGGGGUGAAAGGCCAAUCAAACCGGGAGAUAGCUGGUUCUCCCCGAAAGCUAUUUAGGUAGCGCCUCGUGAACUCAUCUUCGGGGGUAGAGCACUGUUUCGGCUAGGGGGCCAUCCCGGCUUACCAAACCGAUGCAAACUCCGAAUACCGAAGAAUGUUAUCACGGGAGACACACGGCGGGUGCUAACGUCCGUCGUGAAGAGGGAAACAACCCAGACCGCCAGCUAAGGUCCCAAAGUCAUGGUUAAGUGGGAAACGAUGUGGGAAGGCAUAGACAGCCAGGAUGUUGGCUUAGAAGCAGCCAUCAUUUAAAGAAAGCGUAAUAGCUCACUGGUCGAGUCGGCCUGCGCGGAAGAUGUAACGGGGCUAAACCAUGCACCGAAGCUGCGGCAGCGACGCUUAGGCGUUGUUGGGUAGGGGAGCGUUCUGUAAGCCGUUGAAGGUGGCCUGUGAGGGUUGCUGGAGGUAUCAGAAGUGCGAAUGCUGACAUAAGUAACGAUAAAGCGGGUGAAAAGCCCGCUCGCCGGAAGACCAAGGGUUCCUGUCCAACGUUAAUCGGGGCAGGGUGAGUCGACCCCUAAGGCGAGGCUGAAAAGCGUAGUCGAUGGGAAACAGGUUAAUAUUCCUGUACUUGGUGUUACUGCGAAGGGGGGACGGAGAAGGCUAGGCUAGCCGGGCGACGGUUGUCCCGGUUUAAGCGUGUAGGGGGUGUGACCUGGUAAAUCCGGUUGCAUAUCAACCCUGAGGCGUGAUGACGAUGCACUACGGUGCAGAAGUAGUUGAUGCCCUGCUUCCAGGAAAAUCCUCUAAGCUCCAGGUAACAUUAAAUCGUACCCCAAACCGACACAGGUGGUCAGGUAGAGAAUACCAAGGCGCUUGAGAGAACUCGGGUGAAGGAACUAGGCAAAAUGGUGCCGUAACUUCGGGAGAAGGCACGCUGGCAUGUAGGUGAAGUCCCUUGCGGAUGGAGCUGAAGCCAGUCGAAGAUACCAGCUGGCUGCAACUGUUUAAUAAAAACACAGCACUGUGCAAACACGAAAGUGGACGUAUACGGUGUGACGCCUGCCCGGUGCUGGAAGGUUAAUUGAUGGGGUCAGCCGCAAGGCGAAGCUCUUGAUCGAAGCCCCAGUAAACGGCGGCCGUAACUAUAACGGUCCUAAGGUAGCGAAAUUCCUUGUCGGGUAAGUUCCGACCUGCACGAAUGGCGUAAUGAUGGCCAGGCUGUCUCCACCCGAGACUCAGUGAAAUUGAACUCGCUGUGAAGAUGCAGUGUACCCGCGGCAAGACGGAAAGACCCCGUGAACCUUUACUAUAGCUUGACACUGAACAUUGAGCCUUGAUGUGUAGGAUAGGUGGGAGGCUUUGAAGCGUGGACGCCAGUCUGCGUGGAGCCAUCCUUGAAAUACCACCCUUUAAUGUUUGAUGUUCUAACUCGGCCCCGUAAUCCGGGGUGAGGACAGUGUCUGGUGGGUAGUUUGACUGGGGCGGUCUCCUCCCAAAGAGUAACGGAGGAGCACGAAGGUUAGCUAAUCACGGUCGGACAUCGUGAGGUUAGUGCAAAGGCAUAAGCUAGCUUGACUGCGAGAGUGACGGCUCGAGCAGGUACGAAAGUAGGUCUUAGUGAUCCGGUGGUUCUGAAUGGAAGGGCCAUCGCUCAACGGAUAAAAGGUACUCCGGGGAUAACAGGCUGAUACCGCCCAAGAGUUCAUAUCGACGGCGGUGUUUGGCACCUCGAUGUCGGCUCAUCACAUCCUGGGGCUGAAGUAGGUCCCAAGGGUAUGGCUGUUCGCCAUUUAAAGUGGUACGCGAGCUGGGUUUAGAACGUCGUGAGACAGUUCGGUCCCUAUCUGCCGUGGGCGUUGGAAGAUUGAGAGGGGUUGCUCCUAGUACGAGAGGACCGGAGUGAACGCACCACUGGUGUUCGGGUUGUCAUGCCAAUGGCAUUGCCCGGUAGCUAAGUGCGGAAAAGAUAAGCGCUGAAAGCAUCUAAGCGCGAAACUUGCCUCAAGAUGAGUCUUCCCUGGACCUUUAAGGUCCCUGAAGGAACGUUUAAGACUAAGACGUUGAUAGGCUGGGUGUGUAAGUGCAGCGAUGCAUUGAGCUAACCAGUACUAAUGAUCCGUGAGGCUUAACCUU
Molecule: ribosomal RNA, 2908 nt
Filed under: Serratia marcescens
Lineage: Bacteria; Pseudomonadati; Pseudomonadota; Gammaproteobacteria; Enterobacterales; Yersiniaceae
Description: 23S ribosomal RNA
Rfam family: Bacterial large subunit ribosomal RNA
Source: RNAcentral